Molecule: non-coding RNA, 2987 nt
Organism: Microcebus murinus (gray mouse lemur)
Lineage: Eukaryota; Metazoa; Chordata; Mammalia; Primates; Cheirogaleidae
Source: RefSeq, a predicted model, not a curated record
CAAGCAGCGCCCGGCCGCGGCAGGCACAGGGCUGGCGCGCAUGCGCAGCGCACGGGUAUCUGCCCCGCAGCUCUUUUCAUUCCAGCAUCAUAACGAAUAAACACGCAGAUAGCCUUUUGCACUUCGUGCGAUAGAAGAAAAGAGAUGGGCUGUGCCUACGUCUAACGUAUCUCUGUCCGUCCAGCGCUGUCCUCCUCCCAGCCAUCCACCAGGACCCAGCUGGUUUUCCUGAAUCAAGAUGGCUCCCAAUUUUCCUGCUUCUCUUCCUAGGCAGCACCCCACUCUGGCACGGACUGUCUGAGACACUCUGAGGGAGGGAAGGUUGAUGUCUGUGAACUUAAACCGGCAGGACCCUUGCACAUGGAUGCCAGUGCCACCAUUUACUGCCAACGCGAUCCUGAGAAGUAAACCCAGUCAUUACCCGCAUCAGCGUGGCUUCCCAGCACGUCAAGAUUAAAACGGACCGGGAGACUUGCGCAAGACUGAGUCAGCCGAGCAAUUUGAACCAAUAAAUAUCAAAGUCGUGUCUAAGCAGAGAACAAUUCAUUUGAUACCACAUCUGUCAACAGGCCUGUGGAGGAUUUUCCUUCCUGGGGCUCCGCCCUGGCGGCCCUGCCUCCUUUCCUUCCCGGUGCCGUGGAGAAGCUGGACCGUGCUCCCCGGAGGACGGCGCCCGGCGCCCAGGACCGCGCCCGUGCCCAGCCUGGGGGCUUGGGCGGCCGGGCUGCCUGCCCUGCACCCGCUAUCAGGACGACCUGCUCAAGUGCCUCGGCUGGGCAAGCGCGCUCCGCAAUUAGCAAUUCUUUUUUAUUGGUUGAUGUGGGCUUCUGGCCAAGAGGAGUUGGGAUUGAAUCAAUAUUCCCUUUAUUAUGUCAUCGUAGGCAAAUGAAUUAUGAAAACAAAAGCUCAAUAUGAAGCUGCCAAUGCUAAUUACCGGGCAGGAAGCGGAGGCACAAUAAACAAAGGGCGCUCUGUCCUGGCGGGAGCAGAGCGCUGCCCGGUCGUCGCAGGCUCUGGGGGCUGCGGGGCCCACCUUUCUUUCUCCCUCAAGCCCUGGGAUCCAGAAGGAAGUUCGAAAGGAUCUGGCCUGGUCCCCAUGGGCCUAGCAAUCUUGGAUCCCUGUGUUUAAACCACACAAUCCAAUUCAAAGCAAGAAGCAUUUAUUGAGCGCCUACAGGGUACCAGGCUCUGUACUUUUCACAAACCACCACUACCACCUUUAUUUGUUGCUGUCUCCAGAGUCUGGUGAUGAAGAGGAUACGUCUUUAAAAUUAGAUCUACCUAGCUGCAGAUCUCCUCUCUGAACCUCAGUUUCCUCAUCUGUAAAAUGAAAAUAAUAAUAUGCACGUCACAGAGUCCCAAGAGGUUUAGCUGAGAAAAUACGUGUCUAAUAUGGCACGUACAAAGUAGAUACUCAGUAUAUGUUAGCUAUGCUCCUUCUCCUCCUUCCUGUUCUCCUCCUCCUCUUGCUCUUCUUCCUCCUCUUCCCUCUUCUUCCUCAUCUUAUCAUAAUCAUCACCAUCACCCUCCAGGGAGCUCCCUAGUACCCAGAGCAGGGCUCACUCACGCACUGUUAGUGCACUGUGCUAAUGAGAGAAAGGAGCCCAUGCCUGGCGACAUGGACAUGGUACAACACACUUCACAGCAGGGGCUUGUGCCCCAGAGCUGACAGGCUGACCAAGAGACAGACACAUGUCAAAGUAACUGUCAUGGGCUGUGGAGAGAAGAACAUGGCAGGUUGUAAUGGGGAGCACCAAGCUCAGUCCCUGCCUUGCUUCUGUCUCAGAGAACCAACUUGGAAGAAUCAAACUCGUCCCUUUGUGAGAAAGCCCUUGGCCUCUGCUUCAGUGGAGGAGUGGGGGCUCUGCAAGGCUGGUUGUUCUUUCCCUCAAGUUACAGGUGGUAGGAGGUGGGCUGGUCAGGGAGGAGUGUGGCUGGGGAGGGUGGAGUGGGUGGGACUGAACAGUCCCCGACCCCCAAAGCCCACGCUCUUUUUCAGUCUCUCUAGGAGCCUCCAGGGUUCACCCCCACACCUGGCAGUGUGCUGGGGGUCCAGCAAUGAGUGUCAGGUCAGUCUUUGCUAAGUGUAAAAGAAUAGUCAUUCUUAAAAGUCAUAACCAACUUUGAUGCCAUGACUAACAGCAUCCAGUUUCCCUUCACAUGGUCACAGGAGCCUCUGUGGUGGGGACCGUCACCUCAUUUUCUAAGGAAAAGCUGAGACUCUGAGAGAGAAAAGUCAGGAGCCCAGUCUGACACAGCUACUCGGGUCCAGAGCCUUUCCCAUCACUCCACACCUUCUGGAAGACAGAGGGAAGCCAGCCCUGCACCUCCUGGCCACGGGACAACUCCAGACGUCUGCAGCAUCCCAGCCCCCUGCUCAUUUAGGGAGAUGAGUGUUCCCCAGCUAUUUUUCAGGGACUCUUAUCCCCAUGGGCAGAUUAAUCAAGGUCUUAGUUGUCAGUUAAUUGGAAGCAAAUGGCUUUGACUUCCCAUUCAGUUCCUGGCAUGUGUGGCUCCAAGCCAUAGGAUCAGUCUCUGAUGUCUCACCUGCAAAACGGUAGCAAGACUAUGUGCCUAGACCGUCGUGAGCCCAGUGAGACAGAGCAGAAGGAAGGUCCCCAGACACAUCAGUGGACAUUAACAAGGCAAGCGCUGGUGUCCUGCUCCUGGCCCCGCCACGCCGUUUCAGCCAGGCCUCAGGCCUUGGCGUUUCCAAGAGAGAGCUGGCAGUUGACUAAGAGACUGUCUACAGACUGCAUUCAGGGAACUGCUUAUCUAGAGGCAUUCAAACGUGAGACACCAGGUAGGCCUGCCUGGUAGGGGAGGCACAUGGCCACGCCGUGGAAACAGAUGUGGUGAUUUCUUGCCUCUCAUGCAGCGUAUUCAUGUAAGUUCAGUUAAGUUUCCCCUAAGUAACUCACUGAUUUUCUUUUUUCUUUUUUGAGACAGAUUCUCACUCUGUUGCCAGGCUAGAGUGCCGUGGCAUC